AGACGGUACCUGUGAAGGAAGCUCCGGCUAACUACGUGCCAGCAGCCGCGGUAAUACGUAGGGAGCAAGCGUUAUCCGGAAUUACUGGGUGUAAAGGGUGCGUAGGCGGCAUGGCAAGUCAGAUGUGAAAGACCGGGGCUCAACUCCGGGGCUGCAUUUGAAACUGCCAGGCUUGAGUACAGGAGAGGCAGGCGGAAUUCCUAGUGUAGCGGUGAAAUGCGUAGAUAUUAGGAGGAACACCAGUGGCGAAGGCGGCCUGCUGGACUGUUACUGACGCUGAGGCACGAAAGCGUGGGGAGCAAACAGGAUUAGAUACCCUG
RNAcentral lists this ribosomal RNA (320 nucleotides) under uncultured bacterium. Its description in RNAcentral is "bacterial SSU rRNA". It matches the Rfam family "Bacterial small subunit ribosomal RNA", at positions 470 to 789 of the family's 1533-position model. The record is from RNAcentral.